Suricata suricatta (meerkat) is the source of this 794-nucleotide long non-coding RNA. RefSeq lists it as uncharacterized. The record is from RefSeq and is a predicted model, not a curated record. Lineage: Eukaryota; Metazoa; Chordata; Mammalia; Carnivora; Herpestidae. The transcript is spliced from 2 exons.
UCAGAGGCCUUCAGCUUCUGACCCCAUCAGCGGAGAUGCUAUCCCCUGCUCACUCUACCCCGUGGUGACCCUGUACCAGCCACCUGGUAAUGGCCUCCUGGCCAUUUCCUGAUGACACCACCGUGCUCUGACCACAGGCCUCUGCCCCCUCUCCUUGAGGGCAGGACCAGGUCUUUCUUUCCCGCUGUUCCCUGUGUCUGGAACACUACACAUACACAGGCUCCAUAAACACCGGCGUAUAAACAAAUGGUGAGGAGGUCAGAAUUCCCCAGGCCUGCACCCUCUCACGACGGGACGGUCGCAGGCCUGAGCUGCCGGACAGGACCAGAGUCAGAGCAAGGAAUCCAGCCGGCAGUGUGAGAGCAGAGCCCAGAGACCCCAAGUCCAACAACUCCCAAUGAAAGGACCCUCAAGGAUCAACCUCGCCACCAGUUCCCAUCAAAUUCCGCUAAUCCUGCCUUCAAGACUUUACGGAUGAUGCAUGGAUUUGUCUUACUUUCUGGGCUCUUAUGGAUGUAGGUCUUUGCAGGCACGGCAAGAAAGGUCUGACAGUUUGGGCCUCAGUCAUCUCCUCUAUCAACUGGAUAUAAGAAGAACACCAGGAAAAGGGAAAGCAGAGGUGGGGGUCACUGGCAGGCUCCUUGGCCCACCCACCCCUAAUCUGAGCUGUGGGGGGGCGGGUAGGGGUGGAUUCACCAGGCUCACCCUUGGAAAUGCUGUCACUUACCACACUGACUUCUCCAGCUGGGGCAUUUUGACUAUUGAUCUGAUAAAUAAACAGCCUGCUAGCUCGA